AGGAUCAUUAUUGGAAUGAAAUCUCUAGCAAGAGGCUGUUGCUGUCUAGUAAUGUGCACGCCUUUUGUGGAAAAAUAAACCCUUAGCAGCAACUUGUUUCGAUCAAGUGACCUCAGGGUUAUGGGCCCUGCGCGCUUCCACUGCGCCAUGCUGCUGUGUGGGGACUUAUUUCUUCUCCCUGUGCACCACUUGUAGACUUUGUCUGUCUAUGAAUCACAUAACCUUAUGAAUGCAUCUUUGUGCCCUUUAUUAUAUACAACUUUCAACAAUGGAUCUCUUGGCUCUCGCAUCGAUGAAGAACGCAGCGAAAUGCGAUAAGUAGUGUGAAUUGCAGAAUUCAGUGAAUCAUCGAAUCUUUGAACGCAUCUUGCGCUCUUUGGUAUUCCGAAGAGCAUGCCUGUUUGAGUGUCAUUAAUCUCUCAAAACUUCAUUUUUGUGAAGUAAUUGGAUAUUGGGAGUCAUUGCUGGCGGCUGGUUGAAGCUCAGCUCUCCUUAAAUUCCUUGAGGAACGAAAUGUUGGUGUGUGAUAAUAAUUGUCUAUGCCAAACAA
RNAcentral lists this ribosomal RNA (550 nucleotides) under Amanita lanei. RNAcentral's name for it is "eukaryotic LSU rRNA". The stretch from base 258 to 411 matches the Rfam family "5.8S ribosomal RNA". Lineage: Eukaryota; Fungi; Basidiomycota; Agaricomycetes; Agaricales; Amanitaceae. The record is from RNAcentral.